This 406-nucleotide ribosomal RNA is filed under the name uncultured bacterium. Its description in RNAcentral is "partial 16S ribosomal RNA". It matches the Rfam family "Bacterial small subunit ribosomal RNA", at positions 29 to 526 of the family's 1533-position model. The record is from RNAcentral.
AUUGAACGCUGGCGGCAGGCCUAACACAUGCAAGUCGAACGAGUGGCGGACGGGUGAGUAAUGUCUGGGAAACUGCCUGAUGGAGGGGGAUAACUACUGGAAACGGUAGCUAAUACCGCAUACCAUCAGAUGUGCCCAGAUGGGAUUAGCUAGUUGGUGGGGUAACGGCUCACCAAGGCGACGAUCCCUAGCUGGUCUGAGAGGAUGACCAGCCAACCGGGAAUGGAGAAACGGUCCAGAGUCCUACGGGAGGCAGCAGUGGGGAAGAUUGAACAAUGGGCGCAAGCCGGAUGCAGCCAUGCCGCGUGUAUGAAGAAGGCCUUCGGGUUAUAAAGUACUUUCAGCGGGGAGGCGUUACCCGCAGAAGAAGCACCGGCUAACUCCGUGCCAGCAGCCGCGGUAAUAC